CCGUAACUAUAACGGUCCUAAGGUAGCGAAAUUCCUUGUCGGGUAAGUUCCGACCCGCACGAAAGGCGUAAUGAUUUGAGCACUGUCUCGACAAUGCAUCCGGUGAAAUUGAAGUACCAGUGAAGAUGCUGGUUACCCGCGCCAGGACGGAAAGACCCCAUGGAGCUUUACUCCAGUUUGAUACUGGGAUUCGGUACUGCAUGUACAGGAUAGGUGGGAGACGGAGAAGGAUGGACGCCAGUCUGUCCGGAGUCGCUGUUGGGAUACCACCCCUGUAGUACUGGGUUUCUAACCAGUUGCCAUAAACUGGCAAUGGGACAAUGUCAGGCGGGGAGUUUGACUGGGGCGGUCGCCUCCGAAAGGGUAUCGGAGGCGCUCAAAGGUUCCCUCAGAAUGGUUGGAAACCAUUUGAAGAGUGCAAAGGCAGAAGGGAGCUUGACUGCGACACCGACGGGUGGAGCAGGUACGAAAGUAGGACUUAGUGAUCCGGUGGUAUAAAGUGGGAUUGCCAUCGCUCAACGGAUAAAAGCUACCCUGGGGAUAACAGGCUUAUCACUCCCAAGAGUUCACAUCGACGGAGUGGUUUGGCACCUCGAUGUCGGCUCAUCGCAUCCUGGGGCUGUAGUAGGUCCCAAGGGUUGGGCUGUUCGCCCAUUAAAGCGGUACGCGAGCUGGGUUCAGAACGUCGUGAGACAGUUCGGUCCCUAUCCGGCGCGGGCGGAGGAUAUUUGAGAGGAGCUGUCCUUAGUACGAGAGGACCGGGAUGGACGGACCACUGGUGUAUCUGUUGUCGACCAACGGCAUGGCAGAGUAGCCAAGUCUGGAAGGGAUAAACGCUGAAGGCAUCUAAGCGUGAAGCCCCCCUCAAGAUGAGAUAUCCCUCCUUCGGGAGUAAGACCCCUUGAAGACUACAAGGUAGAUAGGGCAGAGGUGGAAGCAUGGCAACAUGUGGAGCUGACUGUUACUAAUAGGUCGAGGGCUUAAUCUG
RNAcentral lists this ribosomal RNA (988 nucleotides) under human gut metagenome. RNAcentral describes it as "bacterial LSU rRNA". It matches the Rfam family "Bacterial large subunit ribosomal RNA", at positions 1934 to 2925 of the family's 2925-position model. The record is from RNAcentral.